AUAAUUACUAAAAACACACAGCUUUUCAUAUGUCCUUUGGCCAUCUGAAUGUGUUCUUUGGAAAAUGUCUAUUCAUUUCCUCUGUCCAGUUUUUAAU
Molecule: long non-coding RNA, 97 nt
Organism: Mustela erminea (ermine)
Lineage: Eukaryota; Metazoa; Chordata; Mammalia; Carnivora; Mustelidae
Exons: 3
Source: RefSeq, a predicted model, not a curated record